CAGUCGCCGCGGUAACACGGAGGGGGCUAGCGUUGUUCGGAAUUACUGGGCGUAAAGCGCACGUAGGCGGCUUGGUAAGUUAGAGGUGAAAGCCUGGAGCUCAACUCCAGAAUUGCCUUUAAGACUGCCGAGCUAGCAGGUGAGAGAGGUAAGUGAAAUUCCGAGUGUAGAGGUGAAAUUCGUAGAUAUUCGGAAGAACACCAGUGGCGAAGGCGGCUUACUGGCUCAUACUGGACGCUGAGGUGCGAAAGCGUGGGGAGCAAACAGGAUUAGAUACCCCGGUAGUCCCUGUCUCUUAUAA
This 301-nucleotide ribosomal RNA is filed under the name uncultured bacterium. RNAcentral's name for it is "partial 16S ribosomal RNA". It matches the Rfam family "Bacterial small subunit ribosomal RNA", at positions 509 to 809 of the family's 1533-position model. The record is from RNAcentral.